CCUACGGGAGGCAGCAGUGAGGAAUAUUGGUCAAUGGACGAGAGUCUGAACCAGCCAAGUAGCGUGAAGGAUGACUGCCCUAUGGGUCGUAAACCUCUUUUAUCUGGGAAUAAAACAGGGCAUGCAUACCCUCUUGUAGGUACCAUAUGAAUAAGGAUUGGCUAACUCCGUGCCAGCAGCCGCGGUAAUACGGAGGAUCCGAGCUUUAUCCAGAUUUUUUGGGGUUAAAGGGAGCGUAGGUGGAUUGUUAAGUCAGUUGUGAAAGUUUGCGGCUUAAACGUAAAAUUGCAGUUGAAACUGGCAGUCUUGAGUACAGUAGAGGUGGGCGGAAUUGGUGGUGUAGCGGUGAAAUGCUUAGAUAUCACGAAGAACUCCGAUUGCGAAGGCAGCUCACUGGACUGCAACUGACACUGAUGCUCGAAAGUGUGGGUAUCAAACAGGAUUAGAUACCCUUGUAGUC
This 460-nucleotide ribosomal RNA is filed under the name uncultured bacterium. Its description in RNAcentral is "partial 16S ribosomal RNA". It matches the Rfam family "Bacterial small subunit ribosomal RNA", at positions 338 to 795 of the family's 1533-position model. The record is from RNAcentral.